Molecule: ribosomal RNA, 210 nt
Filed under: Salmonella enterica
Lineage: Bacteria; Pseudomonadati; Pseudomonadota; Gammaproteobacteria; Enterobacterales; Enterobacteriaceae
Description: partial 16S ribosomal RNA
Rfam family: Bacterial small subunit ribosomal RNA
Source: RNAcentral
AAAUUGAAGAGUUUGAUCAUGGCUCAGAUUGAACGCUGGCGGCAGGCCUAACACAUGCAAGUCGAACGGUAACAGGAAGCAGCUUGCUGCUUCGCUGACGAGUGGCGGACGGGUGAGUAAUGUCUGGGAAACUGCCCGAUGGAGGGGGAUAACUACUGGAAACGGUGGCUAAUACCGCAUAACGUCGCAAGACCAAAGAGGGGGACCUUC